UUGUGGAGGAGGACGCCGAAGGUGGGGCUAAUGACUGGGGUGAAGUCGUAACAAGGUAGCCGUACCGGAAGGUGCGGCUGGAUCACCUCCUAACAGGGAGACAACAAAAUGUUUAACAUUAUUAUUUUGUCACCUUAGGUCGAUCGGUAUCUCACGUUUUUAAUUUAUUAAGAAUUUCAUUUCCUAAGUUUUUCUAGGUCACACCCAUUAUUUUUCCUGGGCCAUUAGCUCAGGUGGUUAGAGCGCACCCCUGAUAAGGGUGAGGUCCCUGGUUCAAGUCCAGGAUGGCCCAUAUCUCUAUGUUGGGGGUAUAGCUCAGUUGGUAGAGCGCCUGCUUUGCAAGCAGGAUGUCAGCGGUUCGAGUCCGCUUACCUCCACUGAUUACCACCUCUUCCAUAACCGGUAGAAAGGAAAUUUUUUGAGUUGUGAUCAAAUUCUGAAAGAAUCUAGCUUCCUAAUGAAAUCAUUAAGAUGCUGGACUCAUUGAAUUAAUUUCAUUGUUUUCAGAGAACCUUGACAACUGCAUAGAUUAUUUUUAAAGACAAUAAGCAUCUUUAAUGAUGCAGAUUUAUUAUUUGUGCGAAUGCAUUAAUAACAAUUCUAUUAAGCUGAUGCUUCAAUUUUGAAGUUAUUGGUCAAGCUACAA
RNAcentral lists this unclassified non-coding RNA (646 nucleotides) under uncultured Prochlorococcus sp. RNAcentral describes it as "partial 16S-23S ribosomal RNA intergenic spacer; may also contain 16S ribosomal RNA and 23S ribosomal RNA". The stretch from base 305 to 377 matches the Rfam family "tRNA". Lineage: Bacteria; Bacillati; Cyanobacteriota; Cyanophyceae; Synechococcales; Prochlorococcaceae. The record is from RNAcentral.